RNAcentral lists this ribosomal RNA (432 nucleotides) under uncultured bacterium. Its description in RNAcentral is "partial 16S ribosomal RNA". It matches the Rfam family "Bacterial small subunit ribosomal RNA", at positions 29 to 507 of the family's 1533-position model. The record is from RNAcentral.
AGCGAACGCUGGCGGCAGGCCUAACACAUGCAAGUCGAACGGAUCCUUCGGGAUUAGUGGCGGACGGGUGAGUAACACGUGGGAACGUGCCCUUUGGUUCGGAACAACUCAGGGAAACUUGAGCUAAUACCGGAUGUGCCCUUCGGGGGAAAGAUUUAUCGCCAUUGGAGCGGCCCGCGUCUGAUUAGCUAGUUGGUGAGGUAACGGCCCACCAAGGCGACGAUCAGUAGCUGGUCUGAGAGGAUGAUCAGCCACACUGGGACUGAGACACGGCCCAGACUCCUACGGGAGGCAGCAGUGGGGAAUCUUGCGCAAUGGCGAAAGCCUGACGCAGCCAUGCCGCGUGAAUGAUGAAGGUCUUAGGAUUGUAAAAUUCUUUCAGCGGGGACGAUAAUGACGGUACCCGCAGAAGAAGCUCCGGCUAACUUCGUG